This 132-nucleotide microRNA precursor is filed under the name Glycine max (soybean). RNAcentral's name for it is "miR4387c stem-loop (gma-MIR4387c)". Lineage: Eukaryota; Viridiplantae; Streptophyta; Magnoliopsida; Fabales; Fabaceae. The record is from miRBase by way of RNAcentral.
CAUUAAAUGAUGAUGUGACAGUUGGAGUGUCACGUCAUCACGCCUUGUGGUGGACAUAUCAUCACCUUUAAUGACGUGUUAGUGAUUAAGCGUGAUGACGUGACACUCCGUCUAUCACGUCAUCACUUAAUG